GGUAGCGGCUGGAGGGCUUCCCCUCUUUUUUUGGGGGGUGGAAGUUCCAUCCAUCCCGUUUUAUUGCAGCCCUGUGAGGGGAUUCCCCGAGAGGGGUUUGGUUUGUUUGCAGAGACGAGAUGCCUUAUACCAUGAGACUGUGAUUCCUUUAUGAUGAGGAGUAUGGUAUGCUGGCUUGUGAAACGAAACAGACCCUGCUGGGAUGCAACUCCUUUUAUUGGAGGCUUAGACGGAUGCCCUCGUUCCCUGAUAGGGAAUACAGAAGAUGGACUAUAGGCCGCUGCC
Molecule: RNase P RNA, 285 nt
Filed under: Candidatus Altarchaeales archaeon ex4484_96
Lineage: Archaea; Nanobdellati; Candidatus Altarchaeota; Candidatus Altarchaeia; Candidatus Altarchaeales
Description: Candidatus Altiarchaeales archaeon ex4484_96 RNase P RNA component
Rfam family: Archaeal RNase P
About the family: Ribonuclease P (RNase P) is a ubiquitous endoribonuclease, found in archaea, bacteria and eukarya as well as chloroplasts and mitochondria.
Source: RNAcentral